RNAcentral lists this ribosomal RNA (86 nucleotides) under Saccharopolyspora flava. RNAcentral's name for it is "23S rRNA. Bacterial LSU". It matches the Rfam family "Bacterial large subunit ribosomal RNA", at positions 2838 to 2925 of the family's 2925-position model. The record is from RNAcentral. Lineage: Bacteria; Bacillati; Actinomycetota; Actinomycetes; Pseudonocardiales; Pseudonocardiaceae.
CGGUAGAUGACCGGGUUGACAGGCCGGAUGUGGAAGCGCAGUAAUGUGUGGAGCUGACCGGUGCUGAUAGGCCGAGGACUUGCUCA